GGGCGCAGGGCGAAUGCCUUGGCACUGGGAGCCGAUGAAAGACGUGAUAAGCUGCGAUAAGCUUCGGGGAGCUGCAAAUAAGCAUUGAUCCGGAGAUUUCUGAAUGAGGAAACUCACCUGGGUUCAUACUCAGGUACGUUGUACUGAAAUUCAAAAUAGGUACAUCGGGGGAACCGCCUGAACUGAAACAUCUAAGUAGGGCGAGGAAGAGACAUCAAACGAGAUUCCGUAAGUAGUGGCGAGCGAACGCGGAAGAGGGCAAACCGGGAGUAGAAAUACUUCCGGGGUACGGAGCGCAUUUAAGACUCAAGUUGUUAACCGAACGGCAUGGGAAGGCCGGUCAGAGAGUGUGAGAACCACGUAGGUGAAAACGGAAAGAGCUGCGCAGAUUCCAGAGUACGGCCAGACACGUGAAACCUGGUCGGAAGAUGGGGGGACCACCCUCCAACCCUAAAUACUACCCAGUGACCGAUAGCGUAUAGUACUGUGAAGGAAAGGUGAAAAGCACCCCGGGAGGGGAGUGAAAAAGAACCUGAAACCCUGUGCCUACAAGCACCUAGAGCGCGUCAAUGCGUGAUAGGGUACUUUUUGUAGAACGGUCCGGCGAGCGAUUGUAUGCAGCAAGGUUAAGGACUUAAGGUCUGGAGCCGAAGCGAAAGCGAGUUUGAAAAGGGCGUUAAGUUGCAUAUAAUGGGCCCGAAACCGGGUGACCUACCCAUGGUCAGGUUGAAGUGGAAGUAAAAUUCCAUGGAGGACCGAACCGACCUCCGUUGAAAAGGCGGCGGAUGAACUGUGGGUAGCGGAGAAAUUCCAAUCGAACCCGGAGAUAGCUGGUUCUCCCCGAAAUAGUUUUAGGACUAGCCUCAAGUUAGAUACCUGGAGGUAAAGCACUGAAUAGCCUAGCGGCCGAGAGGUUAGCGAAGCUUAUCAAACUCAGAAUGCCAGAGUAUUGAUGCUUGGGAGUCAGACAGUGUCAGAUAAAUGUCAUUGUCAAAAGGGAAACAGCCCAGAUCUACAGCUAAGGUCCCAAAGUCAGGUUAAGUGGAAAACGAUGUGAAGAUACGCAGACAACCAGGAUGUUGGCUCAGAAGCAGCCACUCAUUCAAAGAGUGCGUAAUAGCUCACUGGUCGAGCGUCUUUGCGCGGAGAAUUUAACGGGGCUAAACCUGACACCGAAGCUUAGGCAAUCCAGUAAUGGAUUGGGUAGGGGAGCGUUGUAUACGCGGAGAAACAGUAGCGUAAGCGGCUGUGGAGUGUAUAGAAGUGAGAAUGCCGGAAUGAGUAGCGCGAAUGCAGUGAGAAUCUGCAUGGCCGAAAGCCUCAGGUUUUUGGAGGAAGGUUCGUCCGCUCCAAGUUAGUCGGGAGCUAAGGUGAGGCCGGAAGGCGUAGCCGAUGCACAGACGGUAGAGAUUCCGUCACCACCAAAAGAGUUAAGCACAGGGACACAUUUGAAGUCUCAGAGCCGGGUGUUGGUUCCGGUAGAGAUCGAGGGAAGUUAGUACCGAAGUCUGGGAUGGAAGAUGGCGAGAAAAGCUGUGUGUAUUUCUGAGGUGCCCGUACCGCAAACCGACACAGGUAGGUAGGAAGAAGAUUCUAAGGCCAACGGGAGAAGGGUUGUUAAGGAACUCGGCAAAUUGACCCCGUAACUUCGGGAGAAGGGGUGCUCCAGAGAUGGAGCCGCAGAGAAUCGGCCCAAGCAACUGUUUACCAAAAACACAGGUUUGUGCUAAAUCGAAAGAUGACGUAUACGAGCUGACGCCUGCCCGGUGCUGGAAGGUUAAGAGGAGAUGUGCAAGCAUUGAAUCGAAGCCCCAGUGAACGGCGGCCGUAACUAUAACGGUCCUAAGGUAGCGAAAUUCCUUGUCAGGUAAGUUCUGACCCGCA
Molecule: ribosomal RNA, 1884 nt
Filed under: metagenome
Description: bacterial LSU rRNA
Rfam family: Bacterial large subunit ribosomal RNA
Source: RNAcentral